UAAAUUAGAUGCCAACCAACCCUAGGGAUACUCGGCUGAAUGAUACCCACUGUUUCCAUUUUAACUCGAAUCUGUCGUUGUUUUCGGUUUGGUUGAGAACUGUUAAAGUAACAACAGUUGUCUCUGCUUUGGGUUCCAUUAUAACUCACCAUGGGGGGAACAGCAUUGGUCUCGCUUUUGGCUCAAGUUUUUGAAUUGGUCUUUGAUUUUGGUUCGGAUGAACAGUGAAGGUAACUGAAUUUGUCUCUACUUUUGCAAUGUUUGGGUGAACAGUGAGCGUCACAGCAUUAUUCGUCACAGCUUUUUUGACUCAGUUGAACAGUUAGAGCAGAGACUCUCUAAUAAAAGACGAAACAUGUCGUUUUUCAUAUCAAUGUUGUCUUUGACACUACAUGUACGUACAUGUAUAUGUCUAAAGUGUUGUAUAGAAAUCAGUAAAUUUGAUGCUAGCGUUCGCUUUAAAACGGAGCGUUUGAUUUGUUCAGCUGAUCGAAGAAUUUGUCUAAGUUCCAGUUGUGCGGAGUUGGCCUGAGAGAGCUCUGUCCAAGUGCACGUCUUUCGAAGUUGGCGUUGGCUUUGAUGUUGAAACUUUCGUUCCGUAGAUGCCUGACUCUUCUUUUGUAAGACUCAGUGUCUGGUUAGAGUAAUUGAAUGCGUCUCUGUGUUGUAUGGUUUGGUUGAACAGUAAUCCAGAGUAUCAAAAGAGCAUAGUCUCUGUUUCUGGUUCGGUUUAGUGGUGGGAACAACGAACCUCUGCCAGGUCAGGAAGGAGGGCGUCUGUCGGAAAUCGGGUUGAAUGAUCGAACUUGAUUCCCGAUUUCACGCUUGAAAAAUGUUUAACGAAACUGUUGGAAUUUGAUCAACACUAAAGAUUGCUCUUCCCAUACUCUUUUCAACAAUGAUGGACAACAGUGAUGGAUAGGGAAACAGCGUCAGUGCGAUAUGUCGAACGAGCGCUUGAUCUCAUCAGGAAGAUGUAAAGCUUGUCUGAUCAGAAAGACGUCUUGAUGCUAGAAUAUAUCAUAGUUCAUUUAGAUAUUAGGAUGAUUGCUGCCGUUGUGGUGUACUUUUCUCUCUAGCACCCGCUUGAACACGAAUGAUUCUGUCAGGACCAUGGUUAUUAGAAAGCUGCCAAUCAACUCCCUUCGGAUGUUGCAAAUUGUGUUGUGAUUAGUUAUGGUUGAAUAAAUUGACGAAAAUGAGGCAGUACGGGAACUACACCCAAGUGGGAUUGGAGUACAUCCCUUGGCGGACUAACAUGUCCUCGUCCAUCAACCAACUUGGUGACAGCGGUGGCUCAGCCUACGUAUAUUCAUUCUCAAUUAUCGGUCUCUAUGUGAUAAUUAUUGCAAUUCUUGUGACGAUUCAGUUGAAACGCCGACGCUAUGCAACACCGCCGGGCAAGGACUAUUACAGCGACGACUAUCGGGACAACAAGAAACUUUUGGAGGAGAGUAAAUCGUUGCUGAGAUUGAGUAUAAAGAGGAUGCGGGGUGUGAAGGAUGGAUACUUAUUGGACCAAAUGCCAAAUGAAACCGUAUGACCACAGUUUUACCGAAACGACGUUAUGUGUAAAUACAAAGCAUUGAGUGCUUCCAUCUUUUCAUAGAACUCGUAGAAGUCUCCAUUUUUCCCAUCGCAAGAUAUACUCCUUUGAGGAUUUUGCGUCAACACUGCGAUCGACAGAACUUGCAGAAAUUAUUUUGUAUCCGGUUGCGCUUGCGCAUUGUGCUUGCACACUGUUGUUAGCGCAUGCGCAACCGGUAACACUAUCUGUACAAUUUGUUCUGACUUCUGUCAAUCGUGGCGUUGGUCGAAAUCACGAACAUGCCCAAUGCACAUUGCCACACAGGAGACGUCGCUGCGAUCGCUUAACAUUUUCAGUUUCUAUACGCAAGUUAUUUUUUAUUUUCCUGAAUGGUACCCGACAUGAACUUACAUGCUGCUUAGACCGAAUCGUCGGGCGGGGUGUUUGUCAAUUCAAGGCAAUAUUGUGACUGUAUACAUUCUGAGGUACAUACAUGUAUGUAAAAAUGCUCGUGAUACCGUCGUUUUAAAAGUGGUGACUUCCCUUAAAAUGUUAGACUCGAUGUAUGAUAUAUACAUGUACCAUUGACUGUAAUCUGUCCCGGCUGAUCUGCUGCUGGGUACCGCUCACCACUUCUGUGUAUUCUUCUUCAAACCUGCGUACACUUCCAAGCAAAUGUAGUGUGAGCGACCGCUGAACCCAUCUGUUGUGGAACUCAAUGUCACACUAACUUUGGUAUUGCGCUAAAAGAAAGGUAAAGAUCAAGAUUCGAAAACGAAAACGGGGUGUUGUUUUCUCUGGUCGAGGUCUACAGGUCAAAUUGAUUGUUUUGUGUCAGUUUUUCAAGGCAUACAAGACAUUAAACACACACACCGUUUCGUUUCACUUCUGGCAGCAGGCAUCGCGAUAUCCGUCGUCAAAAUGCUUCCUCGUUUUCGUUCUCGGAGUCGAAAUCUGAACCUCUCCAAACUAAUAUAUGGCGAUGCUCUCCCCAUACAAUAGUUACACCAGAACUGGCCUACUUUCUUGGAGGUAUAUAAUUUUGGUCAAAAGUCUAAAGGAUUGGCUGGGAUACAUUGUGCUAUCCGUGGCUGUGAAAUUUAUACCCAAACAUUUUAUAAUCAUUGUAAUAGAGAGCCCGAAAAGCCAUCAUAUCCUGAGAUGAAAUGUUUUUAAUUGCCUCGGAGACAAGUUCUGAUGUUGGCCGUUGGUGAUAGAGCAGGCUCCGCUCCGGCCAUGAUAUCACAUCCGAAGCCUUGAUCUUUUUCAGAAUAAACCUAACGUCUUCGGCUA
Lineus longissimus is the source of this 2821-nucleotide long non-coding RNA. RefSeq lists it as uncharacterized. The record is from RefSeq and is a predicted model, not a curated record. NCBI's taxonomy places the organism in Eukaryota, Metazoa, Nemertea, Pilidiophora, Heteronemertea, Lineidae. The transcript is spliced from 2 exons.